ACCAUUGCGCCAGCUUCAGGUGUCCCCAGCCGAGUGGUUCGGCAAGGGGAUGAAACGGGAAGUCCGGUGCGCGGCCCUUGGUGAAUCCAGGCCCGCAAGUCCGGCGCAGCCCCCGCUACUGUAAGCCUGACGAAUCCGGGCAAAACACCACUGUGCCGCAAGGCAUGGGAAGGUCCCGGAGGAGGAUGACGGCGAGCCAGGAGACCGGCCUGAGGCAGGGGCGCAUC
Molecule: non-coding RNA, 227 nt
Filed under: Pseudomonadota bacterium
Lineage: Bacteria; Pseudomonadati; Pseudomonadota
Source: RNAcentral